GCAUCUAUUGUGCCGUAGCCGUGCUCUCGGCCGCCGCCGAGCCCUUCCUCUUCCUCAACCAUCAUGUUCGCUUCCUCUCAACACGCCACUCUCCACCACCGGUCCUCCCUCCUAGCUAAUCUCGACAGUACGAGCCCCCUGCCUGGCCUAGAGAAACUCUAUGUUGUUCCAAUCGACCAGUCCUCCGCCACCAUGCCCCGCUUUUCCCCUGAGGACCUGCCAUUCGCCACCUUGCAACCCCCUCCCCCCAUCCCCAUGGGCCAUCUCCUCAGCGGUCCUUGUCACUCGUCUCAAAUUCAUUCAAGACGAGUUGACGGGAUUUUUAAGUUCGCCACAGAACUCUAGUAUGCACCCGCCCAACUUAAAAGCUCGUUACUGUAUAAACUAAGCUAUUACAAGUGAUUACCGAGGCGUAAUGAUAUGGUUAGGGACGCAAGAGAUUGACGCAACACUCUCUCGUAUGUAGACCUCGAAGCUGGUGGGGGCAUGACGCAACAGGUAGAGUGUGCAAUACUGUCAUGGCGAAGGAGUGUCAUCCUGCUUCAAAGAUCCUCAAUGGUAAAACCAAACAUAUUAAAUUCAAAGAAAACAAAGUAACCAAAAAAAAAAAUAAGUAGCUCAAAUAAUUUUUUUUCCACAAGUAACGUAGCCACCCCCCCCCCCCCAGUUUUGGAAAAUCCUUAUUAGGUGUGCGCAUUUUUAUGUUUUGGUCCUCCCUAUAAUCGUAUUUCUUUUUUUUUGGCCCUCGAUAUAUUUCUUUGGCAUAGUGGCCUAAAUUAAAACCACCCUGUAAUCCCUAUGAUUUUCUAGAUAGCCCAUAAACCUUUUCUUAAUGGAAGAUAGCCCAUAUACCUCUACAUCUUUAGCCAAGACAAAAAAGAAAGAAAAACCUAGUCCAGUACUCC
RNAcentral lists this long non-coding RNA (905 nucleotides) under Brachypodium distachyon (stiff brome). RNAcentral's name for it is "long non-coding RNA (BDIS_LNC002545)". Lineage: Eukaryota; Viridiplantae; Streptophyta; Magnoliopsida; Poales; Poaceae. The record is from RNAcentral.